Molecule: RNA transcript, 2275 nt
Organism: Serinus canaria (Common canary)
Lineage: Eukaryota; Metazoa; Chordata; Aves; Passeriformes; Fringillidae
Gene name: acid-sensing ion channel 2
Exons: 11
Source: RefSeq, a predicted model, not a curated record
CACAUCUCUUCCACAUCACCUUGGUGUCUCCCUAAAUAAAACCAGCCCUCCUUAUCGCACCGAGGAAAUCAAGACCAAGAGUUUGAAUGGAUUUUAUAUAAAUAUUUACCCCGACGAAGCUACUGCUGAGCUCGUGGGAUAAACUCGCAGCAGCUGGUCUCACUCUGCUUCCCUCGCCUGCCUCUGAAAGGGUUUAAUUACUUUGGAGAGGAGAGGGGAGAGAUCCAGAUCCCAGUUCUGGCUCAGACUGACCCAAAAAGCAGGACCAGGAUUUAAAUGAACUAUGGAUCUGAAGGACAGCAACAGCGAGGGCAGCAUGGGCAGCCUGCAGCCUUCCAGCAUCCAGAUUUUUGCCAACACAACCACGCUCCACGGGAUCCGUCACGUCUUUGUCUAUGGGCCGGUCACCAUCCGGCGCCUGCUCUGGACCUUGGCUUUUGUGGGCUCGCUGGGUCUGCUCCUGGUGGAGAGCUCGGACAGGGUGGCUUUUUACUUCUCCUACCAGCAUGUGACCAAAGUGGAUGAGGUGGUGGCGAACAGCCUGGUGUUUCCUGCUGUCACCAUCUGUAACCUCAACGAGUUCCGCUUCUCCCGGCUCACCACCAACGACCUGUACCAUGCUGGGGAGCUCCUGGCUCUGCUUGAUGUGAACCUGCAGAUCCCCAACCCUCACCUGGCUGACCCUGCUGUCUUAGCCACCCUCCAAGAAAAGGCCAACUUUAAGCAGUAUAAACCCAAAGUUUUCAGCAUGCAAGAGUUCUUGGCACGGGUUGGCCACGACCUGAAGGAUAUGAUGCUGUACUGCAAGUUCAGGGGCCAGGAGUGCAACCACAAGGACUUCAGAACUGUGUUUACAAAAUAUGGGAAAUGCUACAUGUUUAACUCAGGAGAGGAGGGGCGGCCUCUCCUCACCACAGUGAAGGGGGGCACAGGGAAUGGCCUGGAAAUCAUGCUGGACAUCCAGCAGGACGAGUAUCUGCCCAUCUGGGGAGAAACAGAGGAGACGACCUUCGAGGCCGGAGUCAAGGUGCAGAUCCACAGCCAGUCCGAGCCUCCCUUCGUGCAGGAGCUGGGAUUUGGGGUGGCCCCCGGAUUCCAGACCUUUGUGGCCACCCAGGAGCAAAGGCUGACGUACCUGCCCCCGCCGUGGGGCGAGUGCCGCUCCCCGGAGCUGGGCCUGGCGUUUUUCCCGGUGUACAGCGUGACCGCCUGCAGGAUCGACUGCGAGACACGCUACAUCGUGGAGAACUGCAACUGCAGGAUGGUGCACAUGCCAGGGGAUGCUCCCUUCUGCACCCCGGAGCAGUACAAGGAAUGCGCAGAGCCCGCGCUCAGUCUCCUGGCAGAGAAGGACAGCAAUUACUGCAUCUGCAGGACCCCCUGUAACCUCACCAGGUACAACAAGGAGCUCUCCAUGGUCAAGAUCCCCAGCAAGACCUCAGCCAAGUACCUGGAGAAGAAGUUCAACAAGUCAGAAAAAUACAUCUCAGAGAAUAUUCUCGUGCUGGACAUUUUUUUUGAAGCACUCAACUAUGAGACCAUUGAGCAGAAGAAAGCCUACGAAGUGGCAGCCUUACUUGGUGACAUUGGUGGCCAGAUGGGGCUGUUCAUCGGGGCCAGCAUCCUCACCAUCCUCGAGCUCUUCGAUUACCUGUACGAGCUGAUCAAGGAGAAGUUAUUGGACCUUCUUGGAAAAGAGGAAGAGGACGGGAGCCAUGAGGAGAACGUGAGCACCUGUGAUCCAGUACCAAACCACUCGGAGAGCCUGAGCCACACUGUGACCGUGCCCCUGCAGGCCCCGCUGGGGACGCUGGAGGAAAUUGCCUGCUGACCCCUCCCCACCACAGUGCCCAUCCCGAGGAAGGAAAACUGCACAGGGAAAACAGGGACCCAGCUCAGUCCCUGGGUUUCAGUGCCAGAAGGAGCAUCCCAGAAUUCUCCAUUCCCAGCGCUGUAGGCUGACAGUUUUAGAAUAAAGAGAUCCCAAAGUCGGCGCUCUUGGAUUCCUCUCCUGGCCGCGUCCUCUGGGUGAGGUUGGGCUGAACCCCGAGCUCAGGCCAAGGUGAGCAUCCCUGGAGAGGAGCCACAGGGAUCCCUAUGGAUCAUCCCAGCCCUGCUGUGCUGCAGAGUCCGGGAGCAGCGGGUGGGCUUGGGUUCAUUCAUUUCUUUAAUUUUGGGGGGGAAUUUGUGGAAUUUCCUUCUUCUCCCAUUCAUGGAGUCUGUGCUUUCUCCUCGUUCUCCUGACUGAUAUUAAAGCUGGUCUUGUGGAAAUGGC